This 477-nucleotide ribosomal RNA is filed under the name uncultured bacterium. RNAcentral's name for it is "bacterial SSU rRNA". It matches the Rfam family "Bacterial small subunit ribosomal RNA", at positions 34 to 507 of the family's 1533-position model. The record is from RNAcentral.
CGCUGGCGGCGUGCCUAACACAUGCAAGUCGAACGGAACUUGUUGGAUCAAGACUUCGGUCAAGUGAAUUCAAGUUUAGUGGCGAACGGGUGAGUAACGCGUGAGCAACCUGCCUUUCAGAGGGGGACAACAGUUGGAAAAGAACGCUAAUACCGCAUAACGUAUCAUGUUGGCAUCAACGAGAUACCAAAGGAGCAAUCCGCUGAGAGAUGAGCUCGCGUCUGAUUAGAUAGUUGGUGAGGUAACGGCUCACCAAGUCGACGAUCAGUAGCCGGACUGAGAGGUUGAACGGCCACAUUGGGACUGAGACACGGCCCAGACUCCUACGGGAGGCAGCAGUGGGGAAUAUUGCACAAUGGGCGCAAGCCUGAUGCAGCAACGCCGCGUGAGGGAUGACGGUCUUCGGAUUGUAAACCUCUGUCCUUGGUGACGAAACAAAUGACGGUAGCCAUGGAGGAAGCCACGGCUAACUACGUG